This 523-nucleotide ribosomal RNA is filed under the name uncultured bacterium. RNAcentral's name for it is "bacterial LSU rRNA". It matches the Rfam family "Bacterial large subunit ribosomal RNA", at positions 187 to 763 of the family's 2925-position model. The record is from RNAcentral.
AGGGAACUGAAACAUCUCAGUACCUGGAGGAAAGGACAUCAACCGAGACUCCCGUAGUAGUGGCGAGCGAACCGGGACCAGGCCAGUGCCUUCGUGAAAUAAAGUCGAACGAUCUGGAAAGGUCGGCCAUAGCGGGUGAUAGCCCCGUAGACGUCAAACAGCGAAGGACUCGAGUAGGGCGGGACACGUGAAAUCCUGUCUGAACAUGGGGGGACCACCCUCCAAGCCUAAGUACUCCUCUACGACCGAUAGUGAACAAGUACCGUGAGGGAAAGGUGAAAAGCACCCCGACAAGGGGAGUGAAACAGAUCCUGAAAUCGGAAGCCUACAAGCAGUCGGAGCCCCCGAGCGGGGUGACGGCGUACCUUUUGUAUAAUGGGUCAGCGACUUCAUGUGCCGAGCAAGCUUAAGCCGUUAGGCGUAGGCGCAGCGAAAGCGAGUCUGAAUAGGGCGAAGAGUUCGUUGCAUGACGACCCGAAACCAGGUGAUCUAUCCAUGAGCAGGUUGAAGGUGAGGUAACACU